UUGUAGUAGUAGUAGUAGUAGUAGUUGUUGUUGUUGUGGGUGUGGGGUAAGCCUUUGCAACGGCACCCCUGUUCUUCUUGUUCUUCUUUCUCCUUUCGGCGCCACAUGACCCUGCAGAUGCGGCGCCAAGACCAAACGCCUCAAUAAUCAUCAUCAUAUUCUUUUGUGUUGCUUCGUAUGUUUGUGGUCUUAGGAAAUAUUUCUUGUAAGAGCCGAAAUCGUCUGGGAAUACGGUAUCGGCUCGGUUAGGUUUAGUUAGAUGAGGUAAAAGCUUGGGUCAUUAUUAGGUUAGGUUAGGUUAUCAUUAAGUGAGGGAAGAGUUUGGGUCUUUAUUAGGUUAGGUUAGGUUAUCAUUAGGUGAGGGAAGAGUUUGGGUCUCUGUCUUGGUUAGGUUAGGUUAUCAUUAGGUGAGGGAAAAGUUUGGGUCUCUGUCUUGGUUAGGUUAGGUUAUCAUUAGGUGAGGGAAAAGUUUGGGUCUCUGUCUUGGUCAGGUUAGGUGAGGUGAGGUGAGGGUUUGGUCGUGUUUAGAUUAGGUUAGAUUGGGUGAGGGAAAGGUUUGGUCCCGGUCUUGGUUAGGUUAGUUUGGUUAUGGUCAGGUUAGGUUAGGUUAGUUAGGUUAAAGUCUGGUCUUGGUUAGGUUAGGUUAGAGUUUGGUUGUGGUCAGGUUAUGUUAGAGUUUGGUUGUGGUCAAGUUAGGUUAGAGUUUGGUUGUGGUCAGGUUAGGUUAGGUUAAAGUGUGGUCUUGGUUAGGUUAGGUUAGAGUUUGGUUGUGGUGAGGUUAGGUUAGAGUUUGGUUGUGGUCAGGUUAGGUUAGGUUAAAGUGUGGUCUUGGCCAGGUUAGGUUAGAGUUUGGUUGUGGUCAGGUUAGGUUAGAGUUUGGUUGUGGUCAGGUUAGGUUAGGUUAGUUAGGUUAAAGUGUGGUCUUGGUCAGGUUAGGUUAGAGUUUGGUUGUGGUCAGGUUAGGUUAGGUUAGUUAGGUUAAAGUGUGGUCUUGGUCAGGUUAGGUUAGAGUUUGGUUGUGGUCAGGUUAGGUUAGGUUAGUUAGGUUAAAGUGUGAUCUUGGCUAGGUUUGGUUAGGUUAAGUAUCAUUCUUGCCUUUCUCCAUCUACACAGCUACCUAUCUCCUCUCUCUUCUAUUUCCUCGUCCCCUUCACACUUACCUGAUUGCUUUGGGGCAGGUGUUUGUGUGUCCAGGUAUGUUAGGUUAGGUUAGGUAUGAGCCCAGACUUACUCUACACAGCUACCAUGCAUACCUUUAACCCUCUCAUAUAUUUCUUCAUCCCCCUCGCUCGUACCUGUUUGCUAUGGGCCAGGUGUGUCCAGGUGUGUGUUGACGAGUCCUCCCCCCCUCCUAUCGCACGUCGCCGCCCUAUACACCUGUUCAAGGCCACUAAGGACAGCGAGUUCGAUCUUAUGUAUACUGCGUGUCUUCUUCGCGGUGGAGUUUAAUUCUUUGGGGUAGACUUUAAUAUUUUUUUUGUGUGUGUGAUUAUGUCGUCUAUGCUCGGUGGGGGGUGACAUAAGCGCACCUCCACCAUUCCUCCCCCUCCCCGCUCUCCUUCCCUCCUCCCCUCCCCACUCUCCCCUUCCCUUCUCUCCCCGUUACUCCCUACUCAUUCAGAAGGAAGAGGUGAAGAAAUGGAGAAGGGAGUAGAGAAGAAGGGCGAUAAAGAGAGGAAGGGAAAGAAGACUUGCUCUCCUUCUCCUUUCCCUUUCUUUACUCUUUCCUUUCUUACUUUCUUACUCCUUAAUCCUUACUUUUCUUCCUUAUUCCCUCCUUCUUCAUUAUUUAUUUUCGUCUACGGUUUACUGUUUAUUAUUCUCUCGCUCCUCUUCCUCCUCCUCUUCCCUUUCUUACUCCUUAAUAAUCUUUGCUUACUUUUCUUCCUUACUCCUUUUCCUUGAUUCAAUUUUUGUCUUCGGUUCACUGUGUAUAUUAUUCUCUCGCUCCUCUUCCUCUUCCUCCUCUUCCUUCUCUUCUUCAUUUUCCUCCUUCUCUUCCUCCU
Molecule: long non-coding RNA, 2006 nt
Organism: Eriocheir sinensis (Chinese mitten crab)
Lineage: Eukaryota; Metazoa; Arthropoda; Malacostraca; Decapoda; Varunidae
Exons: 3
Source: RefSeq, a predicted model, not a curated record